CGCGGGUGCACCGCCGAC
This 18-nucleotide small nuclear RNA is filed under the name Arabidopsis thaliana (thale cress). Its description in RNAcentral is "snRNA_05900". Lineage: Eukaryota; Viridiplantae; Streptophyta; Magnoliopsida; Brassicales; Brassicaceae. The record is from RNAcentral.